UUAGGAUCUAUCUGACGGUAAAUUCUACUAUGUAGUAACCACACCACAUUAUCUAUAACCAACAAAUUAGAUUUCUUCAUUCGAAAGAAAAGUAUAAUAAAAAUAUUUUUUUUAAUANCUAGGCAAAUGAUAUCGAAAAAUAAUAAAAUUUAUUUUCUAGGUACUCCAAAUACUCUAGAUCAAAUUUAACGGAGCCGAUCGACGAUUCGAAAGUCGCAACAUCAAAAACGAGCUGGAAGCACGGAAGGCUCCGUACUUCCGAUAGCAUAGUAGCCUCACUCAUAUAUAUAUAUAUAUAAUUGAGCUCCUAUGCUAUUAAUAGCACAAGUCAUUGGUGCUACCAAGUUUUUUGGCCAUUGGAUUAAGAGAUGUGUGGUUAGGAUGAUGUGAGUCCCCUAGGGUUGAGUGGGUAGUUGGUUAAAUAGUAUGAUCUAACGGGUGAAAAUGAUUAAAAGGGUAGAUCUAACGGUGAAAAACUUGGUAGAAUCAAGCGCUUCAUGCUAUUAAUAGCAUAGUAGCCAGACUCAUAUAUAUAUAUAUGUAUAUAUAGAGUCCGUCUCCCAUACUUUCGAAAGUACGGGAGGCCUCGUGCUUGUAAGUUGUUUUUGAUGAUAGGACGUUCGAUUCGACGAUCGGCUCCGUUAGGUAUGAUCUACCCUAUUGGAACUAUCUAGAAACCAAAUUUUAGAUUUUUUUGACAUCAUUUACUAAGCGAUCAAAAUAUCUAAAAAAUGACUAUUUUAACGAUUGAUGUGGCACAUUUUUAAGUUCAACGGUGUAGAAGUAUCCAAAUUAUAUGAAAAUUUAAUAGAAAAUUCUACUUAACAUCAGUAGUAAGAUCAAUACUUCUGAUUUAAAAUUUGAAUCCUUUAUCACUGUUUUUUAU
Molecule: long non-coding RNA, 886 nt
Filed under: Ananas comosus (pineapple)
Lineage: Eukaryota; Viridiplantae; Streptophyta; Magnoliopsida; Poales; Bromeliaceae
Description: long non-coding RNA (ACOM_LNC013041)
Source: RNAcentral